ACUCCUACGGGAGGCAGCAGUGGGGAAUAUUGCACAAUGGGGGAAACCCUGAUGCAGCCAUGCCGCGUGUGUGAAGAAGGCCUUCGGGUUGUAAAGCACUUUCAGCGAGGAGGAAAGGGUGUGUGCUAAUACCCAUACAUCUGUGACGUUACUCGCAGAAGAAGCACCGGCUAACUCCGUGCCAGCAGCCGCGGUAAUACGGAGGGUGCGAGCGUUAAUCGGAAUUACUGGGCGUAAAGCGUGCGCAGGCGGUUUGUUAAGCGAGAUGUGAAAGCCCCGGGCUCAACCUGGGAAUUGCAUUUCGAACUGGCAAGCUAGAGUCUUGUAGAGGGGGGUUAGAAUUUCAGGUGUAGCGGUGAAAUGCGUAGAGAUCUGAAGGAAUACCGGUGGCGAAGGCGGCCCCCUGGACAAAGACUGACGCUCAUGCACGAAA
This 433-nucleotide ribosomal RNA is filed under the name uncultured bacterium. RNAcentral's name for it is "bacterial SSU rRNA". It matches the Rfam family "Bacterial small subunit ribosomal RNA", at positions 335 to 758 of the family's 1533-position model. The record is from RNAcentral.